This 229-nucleotide ribosomal RNA is filed under the name uncultured bacterium. RNAcentral's name for it is "partial 16S ribosomal RNA". It matches the Rfam family "Bacterial small subunit ribosomal RNA", at positions 568 to 796 of the family's 1533-position model. The record is from RNAcentral.
UGCGUAGGCGGAAAAUUAAGUCAGUGAUGAAAUCCUGCAGCUCAACUGUAGAACUGUCAUUGAUACUGAUUUUCUUGAAUUUAGUCGAGGUAGGCGGAAUGUGUAAUGUAGCGGUGAAAUGCUUAGAUAUUACACAGAACACCGAUUGCGAAGGCAGCUUACUAAGCUAACAUUGACGCUGAGGCACGAAAGCGUGGGGAGCGAACAGGAUUAGAUACCCUGGUAGUCC